AUGUCCAUUUCCAUUCGUUUAUCGAUUUUGGCGGUGCCAUCAGAAGUGGCCAGAUUGUCUGGGGCCUGUUUGGAACAUAAUAAUUUCACAGGAGACACAAAAAGCCCUCCAAAAUCCGCACGCAAAUCAUUCAUUCCCUAUAAGAGGUCUAAGGCUACCAGAUCAAUGAUUUCGCAAUUUGGAUGGACAAAGGAAACUGUGGUACAGUUACCUUACAAUUAUUUGUUGUUGAUGUUUGAAAAGACUUUUGUUAUCGAUAUGACUUCUAUUAAGAACCUAAUGUGCGAGCAUGUCCUAAAUGGAUUCGAAAGUGAAAAGUGGACACAAAUCUAA
Molecule: ribosomal RNA, 333 nt
Filed under: Triticum aestivum (bread wheat)
Lineage: Eukaryota; Viridiplantae; Streptophyta; Magnoliopsida; Poales; Poaceae
Description: partial small subunit ribosomal RNA
Source: RNAcentral